The sequence is an unclassified non-coding RNA, 197 nucleotides long. The stretch from base 1 to 46 matches the Rfam family "Eukaryotic small subunit ribosomal RNA", at positions 1786 to 1831 of the family's 1831-position model.
AAGUCGUAACAAGGUUUCCGUAGGUGAACCUGCGGAAGGAUCAUUAUAAAAUUUUCAUAUAUUAAUUUAUUUAAUAUUAUAAAAUUAUACAAAAAUGUAUUCAAAACCCACACUCUUUAUAACCAUAAAAAAACCAUAUUAUAUCUUUGUAUAUAAUAAUAAAAAAACAACUUUCAACAACGGAUCUCUUGGCUCUC